This is a non-coding RNA of Gasterosteus aculeatus aculeatus (three-spined stickleback), 761 nucleotides long. The record is from RefSeq and is a predicted model, not a curated record. NCBI's taxonomy places the organism in Eukaryota, Metazoa, Chordata, Actinopteri, Perciformes, Gasterosteidae.
AGUACAAACAAAAGGUAUGACUGACUUGAGUGAACUACACUACCACAGACUCGUAUCUCAAACUGCAAGCUUUUUUAUGUAUGCAUGUAGUGGCAGUAAUUGCUUUUAAAAUAAGUAUUUGUUGCGUCAAUCUCCGGUCACAAGCCGCACAGAGAACUCAAGGCCCAUAUCCACACCGGACAGUCAAAGCGCACCCAGACUGCAGGGGGCGACGAUGCGGCUAAUGGAGAUUCCACCCACAGGAAGUGCCUGCGUACGAACAGGAAGCGCAUGGCAUAACAUGUUUGGAGAGCUCAGAUGGCCCUCUCACUCGGCCCUGAGGAAAAGGACACUGUGGCCACGGCUUCUAAUCUCCCAGAGACGCAACUGACUGUCCAGAGAUCGCCACUGCCUCGAGGAUCCCCAGAAGUGGUCAAGCAGUUUCAGCCUCCUGUGACAGUAGAAAUUACCAGCAGUCUUGAGUGAACGGACGGUCCAGAGAAGACAACAGAGUCCUGCCUCGGGGUCCUAGGAGUGGCCAAGUGAGUUCAGCCUGCUGUUAAAAUUGCCAGCGGAAUGAGUUGGAGGACGAUUCAGAGAACACAACAGGCUCCUGCUUCAGGGGCAAGCAGCUUUAGCCUCCUGUGGAAAUUGCCAACUUUGCGAUUUGAGUAACGGGACGAUAAAUACAACUUUCUACAGGAUUUUUCAAAUCAUCGACCAGCUGACAGGAUUUGGCAGAAGGUAAGACUAUUUUAGCGGGGGUUAAGUGUGGGCUAGGG